ACAAGAAGCUGAUUGUCAGUUCUGAUUUCUGAGGCCUUCGCAACAGUUUACCGUUCUCUUUUUAUGCUUAUGUGCCAUAGCGUUUAUGGAGGAAAUUGACCUAGAAGCUAAAGCUCCUGGAAGCUUCUUUGAAUGUUUGAAUGAAACCUAAUUAAUGAAAGAUAAGCUUCUGAGGUACCAAUGAUAGGACACACUGAUAUGAGCAACAUGUAGUUUCUCAAAUUAGUUGUUUUUGCUUGAGUGUUGUUAGAGCCAUAUCAGUUCAAUAGUUAGGUGCGAUUCGCUUCUGAAUUACAGGAUGAGAAUGUGGUAAUAACCAUUGCUUGGAAUUUGUGACCAGUAUAUUAUACAGGAUCUGCAAGAUCUUGAUCACAUAGCUUUGAGACAUGCAUUCAUUCGAUCCGUAGCUAUGAGACAUGCUGAAUAUUUCUAUUGGUAGCAACUUGAUGCUGAUUUCCUCUUGAAUUAUUUCUGACUCUUAUCCUCAUGUUUUCUUCUCCUAACCAGUAACGAGACCUAUUUGCUUUUCUUAUAUAAGGCAAAGCUUGCUUUGGAAAGCCUUGAAGUUCCAGUUGGGUAACAAGACAUGCAGAGAUGGAAGCUCUUGAUGUCCCUCAGGAACAGUGGCAGAUGGCUGGAUUUUCAGCUACAGAAGUUGCAGGGAAGUUUUCAGCAUGCUCCCUUUAUGUGACAUGUGAACCAUGCAUAUGUGUGCAGCAGCAUUAUCGAUCAUUUUAAUGGGAAUUCUGGAUCAAAGGGUUUCAAAUGUUGUGGAGGGAUAAUGGCAUCAGAAGCGGUUUCUCUUCUGUGAGAUUUUUAUGAACAAGGAAACUAUAUUGCUCCAAAGCUUCACAGGCCACGGGUUACUUAGGCUUCUCAUUUGACCUCUGUGCAUUGAUUCUUCCUGUUGAAUCCUCUCGUGCCUUUGUACAACUAGAAUUUCCGCAAGGGGCUUGAGAGAAGAAGCUCGAUUCUUGUCCAGAUCAGUUUUUGCCCGGAUGGUCAUGUGUUCAUUGAGGAUUGCAGCUACAGUCACAAGUUCAUUCCGUGCUUUAACUUGAUUAUUAAAUUGUUAAAAUAAUUUACGGCAUAACCCCUUGUAGGCAUCACUUUUCUGAUGCUAAUUUUUGUCAUC
Syzygium oleosum is the source of this 1135-nucleotide long non-coding RNA. RefSeq lists it as uncharacterized. NCBI's taxonomy places the organism in Eukaryota, Viridiplantae, Streptophyta, Magnoliopsida, Myrtales, Myrtaceae. The record is from RefSeq and is a predicted model, not a curated record. The transcript has 5 exons.